RNAcentral lists this ribosomal RNA (396 nucleotides) under Pseudoalteromonas sp. UA-AR0505. RNAcentral describes it as "bacterial SSU rRNA". It matches the Rfam family "Bacterial small subunit ribosomal RNA", at positions 388 to 776 of the family's 1533-position model. Lineage: Bacteria; Pseudomonadati; Pseudomonadota; Gammaproteobacteria; Alteromonadales; Pseudoalteromonadaceae. The record is from RNAcentral.
GCAGCCAUGCCGCGUGUGUGAAGAAGGCCUUCGGGUUGUAAAGCACUUUCAGUCAGGAGGAAAGGUUAGUAGUUAAUACCUGCUAGCUGUGACGUUACUGACAGAAGAAGCACCGGCUAACUCCGUGCCAGCAGCCGCGGUAAUACGGAGGGUGCGAGCGUUAAUCGGAAUUACUGGGCGUAAAGCGUACGCAGGCGGUUUGUUAAGCGAGAUGUGAAAGCCCCGGGCUCAACCUGGGAACUGCAUUUCGAACUGGCAAACUAGAGUGUGAUAGAGGGUGGUAGAAUUUCAGGUGUAGCGGUGAAAUGCGUAGAGAUCUGAAGGAAUACCGAUGGCGAANGCAGCCACCUGGGUCAACACUGACGCUCAUGUACGAAAGCGUGGGGAGCAAACGGG